This 253-nucleotide ribosomal RNA is filed under the name uncultured bacterium. RNAcentral describes it as "partial 16S ribosomal RNA". It matches the Rfam family "Bacterial small subunit ribosomal RNA", at positions 524 to 776 of the family's 1533-position model. The record is from RNAcentral.
UACGAAGGGGGCUAGCGUUGCUCGGAAUCACUGGGCGUAAAGCGCACGUAGGCGGAUCUUUAAGUCAGGGGUGAAAUCCCAAGGCUCAACCUUGGAACUGCCUUUGAUACUGGGGAUCUCGAGUCCGGAAGAGGUGAGUGGAACUGCGAGUGUAGAGGUGAAAUUCGUAGAUAUUCGCAAGAACACCAGUGGCGAAGGCGGCUCACGGGUCCGGUACUGACGCUGAGGUGCGAAAGCGUGGGGAGCAAACAGG